AGUCAAUAGAUACCCAGGUAGUCCACGCCGUAAACGAUGUCGACUUGGAGGUUGUGCCCUUGAGGCGUGGCUUCCGGAGCUAAACGCGUUAAGUCGACCGCCUGGGGAGUACGGCCGCAAGGUUAAAACUCAAAUGAAUUGACGGGGGCCCGCACAAGCGGUGGAGCAUGUGGUUUAAUUCGAUGCAACGCGAAGAACCUUACCUACUCUUGACAUCCAGAGAACUUAGCAGAGAUGCUUUGGUGCCUUCGGGAACUCUGAGACAGGUGCUGCAUAGCUGUCGUCAGCUCGUGUUGUGAAAUGUUGGGUUAAGUCCCGCAACGAGCGCAACCCUUAUCCUUUGUUGCCAGCGGUUAGGCCGGGAACUCAAAGGAGACUGCCAGUGAUAAACUGGAGGAAGGUGGGGAUGACGUCAAGUCAUCAUGGCCCUUACGAGUAGGGCUACACACGUGCUACAAUGGCGCAUACAAAGAGAAGCGACCUCGCGAGAGCAAGCGGACCUCAUAAAGUGCGUCGUAGUCC
This 522-nucleotide ribosomal RNA is filed under the name uncultured bacterium. RNAcentral describes it as "bacterial SSU rRNA". It matches the Rfam family "Bacterial small subunit ribosomal RNA", at positions 775 to 1294 of the family's 1533-position model. The record is from RNAcentral.